GGCCCAUAUUCCUACGGGAAGCAGCAGUGAGGAAUUUUUCACAAUGGACGAAAGUCUGAUGGAGCAAUACCACGUGAACGAUGAAGGUCUUCUGAUUGUAAAGUUCUUUUAUUUAGGAAAAAAAGCGCGAUAGGAAAUGAUCGCGCCUUGAUUGUACUAUUUGAAUAAGUGACAGCUAACUAUGUGCCAGCAGCUGCGGUAAUACAUAGGUCACAAGCAUUAUCCGGAUUUAUUGGGCGUAAAGGAAGCGUAGGCUGAAUUGUGUAUCCAUUGUUAAAUAUAUUUGCUUAACAAAUGUUCGCGGUGGAGAUUACAAUUCUAGAAUUAGUUAGAGGGCAUUGGAAUUCAAUGUGUAGUGGUGGAAUACGUAGAUAUAUUGAAGAACACCAGUGGCUAAGGCGAAUGCCUGGGACAUAAUUGACGCUGAGGCUUGAAAGCGUGGGUAGCAAAUGGGAUUAGAUACCCCAGUAGUCCACGCCGUAAACGAUGGGUAUUAAUCACUUGAUUCGUUUGGGUGGUGAAGCUAACGCGUUAAAUACCCCGCCUGGGUAGUAUAUAUGCAAAUAUGAAACUCAAAGAAAUUGACGGGGACCUGAACAAGUGGUGGAGCAUGUUGCUUAAUUCGAUAAUACACGAAAAACCUUACCAAGGCUUGCAAUCUUCUGCAAAGCUGUAGAAAUACAGUGGAGGUUAUCAGAGUGACAGGUGGUGCAUGGCUGUCGUCAGCUCGUGUCUUGAGAUGUUUGGUUAAGUCCCAUAACGAGCGCAACCCUUUAUAUUAGUUAAUUAGUUCUAGUAUGACUGAAUCGUAAGAUCUAGGAAGGAUGGGGUGAAGUCAAGUCAUCAUGCCCCUUAUGCCUUGGGCUGCAAACGUGCUACAAUGGUAGAUACAAUGUGUUACAAUCUAGCGAUAGUGAGUCAAUCACCUAAAGUCUAUCUCAGUCCGGAUAAAAGGCUGCAAUUCGCCUAUUUGAAGAUGGAAUCACUAGUAAUCCUGU
RNAcentral lists this ribosomal RNA (998 nucleotides) under uncultured Mycoplasma sp. RNAcentral describes it as "bacterial SSU rRNA". It matches the Rfam family "Bacterial small subunit ribosomal RNA", at positions 328 to 1347 of the family's 1533-position model. The record is from RNAcentral. Lineage: Bacteria; Bacillati; Mycoplasmatota; Mollicutes; Mycoplasmatales; Mycoplasmataceae.